CGUAGGUGGCGAGCGUUGUCCGGAUUUACUGGGUGUAAAGGGAGUGCAGGCGGGACGGCAAGUCAGCUGCGAAAUACAUGGGCUUAACCCAUGGACUGCAGUUGAAACUGCCAUUCUUGAGUGAAGUAGAGGUAGGCGGAAUUCCGAGUGUAGCGGUGAAAUGCGUAGAUAUUCGGAGGAACACCAGUGGCGAAGGCGGCCUACUGGGCUUUAACUGACGCUGAGGCUCGAAAGUGUGGGGAGCAAACAGGAUUAGAUACCCU
Molecule: ribosomal RNA, 263 nt
Filed under: uncultured prokaryote
Description: partial 16S ribosomal RNA
Rfam family: Bacterial small subunit ribosomal RNA
Source: RNAcentral